Molecule: unclassified non-coding RNA, 351 nt
Filed under: soil metagenome
Description: partial contains 5.8S ribosomal RNA, internal transcribed spacer 2, and large subunit ribosomal RNA
Rfam family: 5.8S ribosomal RNA (bases 1-120)
Source: RNAcentral
GAUGAAGAACGUAUCGAAAUGCGAUAAGUAGUGUGAAUUGCAGAAUUCCGUGAAUCAUUGAAUCUUUGAACGCACAUUGCGCCUCCUGGUAAUCCGUGAAGCAUGCCUGUCCGAGCGUCAGUAAAAAGCAACUCGGCCGCGGCUGGCGGUUGGUGAUGGAGGAAGAGCACGUCUCGUUGUCGGUCUCCCCUCCCAAAAUCAACGGCGGAAUGUCACUGGCACUCGGUGUUGUAGUAUUAUUCGCCGAUCACCCAUUGUUGUUCCUGCUGCCCAAACCCCCACAAUUCUCUUGAUUGACCUGGGAUCAGGUAGGGAUACCCGCUGAACUUAAGCAUAUCAAUAAGCGGAGGA